RNAcentral lists this ribosomal RNA (119 nucleotides) under Polysiphonia sertularioides. The record is from RNAcentral. Lineage: Eukaryota; Rhodophyta; Florideophyceae; Ceramiales; Rhodomelaceae.
UCUUGAUAUUCAUAGCGCAGUGGACCCACUCCAACACCAUUCCGAACUUGGCUGUUAAACUCUGCAGCGACGAUGAUACUUGAGAGGACACUCUCCGGGAAAGUAGUUCAAUAUCAGGA